This is a long non-coding RNA of Galleria mellonella (greater wax moth), 2626 nucleotides long. RefSeq lists it as uncharacterized. The transcript has 5 exons. The record is from RefSeq and is a predicted model, not a curated record. NCBI's taxonomy places the organism in Eukaryota, Metazoa, Arthropoda, Insecta, Lepidoptera, Pyralidae.
AUAAUAGUGUUUUUUUUUUCGAUAGAUGAAAAUGUAAUAGCACACCUGCCUAUGCUAACAGUAAACAGUGAUAAGGCUCCAGUGAAAAAUGAAACGAAAAAGAUGCAUUCAGAUAAAUUCAGAUUCAUCAAACUAAAUUACAAAGAUGCCAUCUUGUAUAAAGAUCAAGUUUUCACGAAAGCUUCGUCGCGUUAUAUCUGGUACUGCUCGGGCCGAUCUCAGUAUGGAUGUAACGCCAGGCUGGUGAUGAAUGACGAAGAAAAAAUAGUUGAGGUCUAUGCAAAACAUAAGCACCCGAAACCUAUACUUAAGAAGUUGCCUGACGGAGCUUAUUACAGGGUACGAACAAGAUAAUAUGACAGAUAAGAGAAGCAGUCUACGAUCUUGUAAAUGGUCAUCCCUUAAAAAACCUCUUUAGUUUGUAAAAAUUUAUUAUAAACCUUGAAUUACUGUAAUGGGAUAAAAAAUAUUUUAUAUCCAAACGUAUUUACAAUUUUGACAUUUAUUAUAUCAGUAAAAUUAUUUAUUAAAUAUGUGUUACAAUAGUUCAAUACUUUUAUUUAAUUUCCUUCAAAUGUUUUAUUUUUUUUUAGUUUUUUUUUUUUUAUUUUCUUGAUAUUGUAAUUACUAGCAUCAGUUAUGUAGACUUUUUAUAUAUUUAUCCCUCUGGUCGAUUCUGAAGCGCCAUGAUCUAUGUUCUAAAAUUAAAGUUUCUAUUUUAUAUUACAGGAAAAUUAUUAUUCUAAGGAUUAAAAGAAACCAAUUUUAUAAUGUAAAUGAGUCUGAAUUACUUUCACACUUUCAAGUUGCAUAAUUAAUGGUUUAUAAGAGACACGAUGCAAUAUUUUAGUUCUCUCUUAUUAAUCGUAAAUGUGUUUAACGUUUCGCUUAUCCUCAAUUUGUUAUUUUUUUUUUUUUACUCUAUCUUCAGAUAAAUUCCAAAUCAUCAAAAUAAAUAACAGAAAUGCAAUUUUGUACAAGAGACAAGUUUUCGCGAAGGGUUCCUCGCGCUAUAUCUGGUACUGCUCCGGGCGGAAUAGAUACAGAUGUAACGCCAGACUGGUGAUGAACGAUUGUGAUAAAAUCGUUGAGGUGGACGCAACACAUAAUCACGUUAAACCUACACUUAAGAAGAUGCCUAACGGGGUUUAUUACAUGGUACGUGCUGCAAGGACUAGAUAAUGUGGACAAUUUAUUAAACAAAGCAAAUUACUAUCUCGCAAAUCAUUCAAUCCAAAGUAAUUUGUUCUGUUGUUAAAAAUAGUGUAUAAAAAUAUUUCUACAUAGUGUUUUUCUAAGAGCCCAGAUGCACUGAAAUUUAUAAAAGUAAACGAGAAAACUGUGAUUUUGUAUAAAGAACACACUUACUCGAAGGCGGCAUCUCGUUACGGUUGGUAUUGUUCCAAACGUACCGUACUCAAGUGUUCAGCCAAACUGAAGGUGGACGAUGGUGGGAUGAUUCUUGACGAAUACGCAGAACACAAUCACCCAAAACCAACACUUAUGAAGAUGCCAAGUGGUGAUUAUAUUAGACUUUAAAACAAUUUAGAAGCCCGUUAGUACGUAGCCUGUGUUACUCUUCAUAUGCUAUUAUAAACAAUAAAGAGUCUUAUUAAUAAAUUUAAAUAUAAGAAUGGCGCAAUAUGUAGAUAAAGGAAUCACAGAAAAGCUGAUUUGCCAAACCUAUAUCCACUAUAAAGCAGAUAUAAUUACCAAUUAUUAUUAUAGCAUAAUUAAUAACCCAUUUCGACAAAAAUUAAAAUAAGAAACAUAUGUGGGUUUAUGUAUGAAAAAUAAUAAAAAAAAAUGAAAUAUAGAUAGUUAAAUAGAUAAACUUGGUAGAAUAACAAAAAUAAAAUUACAAGAAAAGGUCAAAUAUAAGAAAAUAAUGGGCGGCCUUAUCGCUAAAAAAGAUUUCUACCAGGCAAUCUUUGGAUGUAGAAAAGUAAACUUCUUAUAGUUUAGUGAAAGGCUUGAUAAAAUUCUAUCCGUUUUUGAAUACAUUCUAUAUUUUUCUUCAAACAUUCUAUACUUUUCUUUCAGCUUCUCAAAUGUUGAAUGUAAGAAAUCCCUCUGUAGGAUAAGUCCGCCAUUGUAAAUAUUUUUAAUGUGUCCAAUGUAAAGUAUCUACAAUAAAGAUUUUACAAUACAAAGCAUGUAGAAACAUUUUAUUUAUUACGUUAAAAAAAAAAAAGUUUUUUUUAUUUAAAAUGUAGUAUUGUUACUAAAAUUUCGAAAUUUUUAUAUUAUUUACUUUAGUUAGUAUCGUUAUCUUUCUUAAUUUAUUUUAUGACUUACUGCUUUUCUUAAAACAAGUUGUUAUAAUUUACCAAAACUGUCACAAAAUCCCAUUAAAUUUAACUGCAAUGACUAAACUUUUGUAAUAUUUAAAAUAAAUCAUUUUAUCCGUGAUCAGAUUUAACUGGGUUCAUCUUAUAUAGGAUUUAGUGAAACCAAAUUUAUAAGUGGUAAAGACUACAAAAUUGAUUUGGAAAUUGGGAUCCAGUCCAGGAAAUCAAUUAUGUAAGAGUUAAAGAUUAAAAAACUGAUUCUAAAAUCAGGAUUCAGGAGAAAUCAGGUUGAAAUAUUUAAAGACUACAAACCAAAUUAUUUUGAAAUUUCGGAA